Chiloscyllium plagiosum (whitespotted bambooshark) is the source of this 683-nucleotide non-coding RNA. NCBI's taxonomy places the organism in Eukaryota, Metazoa, Chordata, Chondrichthyes, Orectolobiformes, Hemiscylliidae. The record is from RefSeq and is a predicted model, not a curated record.
GAUGCCCGUCACGGCUGCUGCUCGCUGUUGGAAAGCCGAUUUUUAUUCGACUACUAAUCCCUUCUUGCAAUCUGCAUCCAGCACUGUGUCACAUCCACUCUGCCCUGAUUCCCGUCCUCUGAUCGGGACGGUACACGGCGCCCGUCCAGGUGGCUUUUCACAAAAAUAACCUGCGGAUUAUUCUUUCGCCAGACUACCAAAAUAAAAAAAAAUAUAUAGACCACAAGUUGACAACUCGUGUUUGCCAUGGCCCAUUGAGACAUCACGGAGCGGCACAAUGCGGAAAGGCCCCGCGGUGUGAAGUGAAAAUGUGUCGAAUAUCUCCUCUCAUGUGGCCGUGUUGCUAUCCUUUUUGAACUUGUUACCGCCAGAGAGAGAGAGAGAGAGAGAGCAGUAGUUGGGGGGGACAGACCGCCGAGCAGGACCAUGUUAGAAGCACUGGGUGUCCUGGUGAGCAUCAUGUUGUUGAAAGCCAGUGGGGAAAUUCCAUUCGUUGCAGAAAAUGACGCGGCCAUGGUCGUCAAUUGGAAUGCAGUGGACGGAAACAAGAAAAUAUUUGCAAUAUAUGACACAAGUAUAACAGAUCGUACUAUGCAACGUGCAUAAGGGAAAUUGAAUAGGGCGAGGAACAUAAUGUUACAAGUGCAGAGAAAAGAGACGUCAACAUUAAAUUAAAAAUUUGA